Molecule: long non-coding RNA, 2616 nt
Organism: Syngnathoides biaculeatus (alligator pipefish)
Lineage: Eukaryota; Metazoa; Chordata; Actinopteri; Syngnathiformes; Syngnathidae
Exons: 3
Source: RefSeq, a predicted model, not a curated record
AGCCAGGGUUGUACCGGCAGGAUCAUGACAGAGUUUCUCUGACUGAUCACUUCGAACCGACCUGUUUCCAGACUUAGCAGAAAGCGUUGCAUACACAAGUGUACUUAGGCAGCAGCUGAAACCAGUUGCAGUCCUGACUAUUUUUCCUAUGGGGACCUCAAUUGGCAGCAAGAGAACUAAAUCUCACAGCUGGCACGGUGCUGUGGUGAAGCUGUGCAGACAAGAACUGCUACUUGGCUGCUUGUUAUCAUCACUGUCAGGUUCCAACCUUCUGAUAUCCUGAAACGUACAAUUUGACAAUGCCAACUACAGUCGGGUGCUCCUGUGCAUGGGAAUUGUCCUCCUCUGCAUAAUUCAGCACAUUGCUCGCCAUUUCAUAUCAUGUGUAGUGUGCUAUUGUUCAAUUGCAAUGUCACUUCUGGUAGUCCUUGUGGUGGAUAGAGUAACCACACCGUGAUGUCUUGCACUUCAGAUGGCUGGCCAGAGCUGUGACCAAAGGGUGGAGGAUGCCUGUCAUGGCGGCAACCCCAAGCCCAUUUGUGGACACUGACAGUGUUUGUUUACACACUUAUGUCACGCGUAGGCCUCGGAGUAGUCAGACUCCAUGUCAUUCCGCCCGAAGAACCAUCCGAAUCUUCAACAUUAAUUACAGCCACAGGUUCAAAUGUGUAUGGAAGUGUUCCUCCAUCUUUCUGAUCAACCAAUAUCGCUAUUUUUUCAUCAGAUGAGGAUAAAUACAAGAAAUCACCGCUGGGCAUAAAUGGUGUCCCAUGUAAUCGAGCCUUUGUUGCGGCACGGUACACGUCACAUCAGCGCACGCAGGUCGAAAAUGGCAGCGACCCUGAAAAAGGUGGUGAUUCCGUGUCAGUUGUCUGGCUGUUGACCAAGAUGUCCCCUGGUUAGAUCACAAGCUAGCUGGUGGCUAGCACUUUGCAUCAUGGCAUUGAAAGCCCAGGAAAUUCUAUAAUUUUGCUGUUCAAACAUGUAGAGGCAUGCAGGCAUAAGUAAGAUGGUAUUUGAUGACAGUCGAUGACAGCAUGGUUUCAGCACAUUCAGCAGACACACUCAGCGUGUGUGAGAGUGAAGGGAAAGGAUUAAAUUUUCAAGUAUUUGAAACCUCAUUUUAUAUAAUUUGAUAUGUUUUCCUGGGCGGCACGAUGGAUCAGCUGGGAAGCGUUGGCCUCGCAGUUCUGAGGUCCCGGGUUUGAUCCCAGAUCCGCCUGUGUGGAGUUUGCAUGUUCUCUCCGUGCCUUCGUGAGUAUUCUCCGAGCACUCCAGUUUCCUCCCACAUCCCCAAAUCAUGCAACCUUAAUUGGACACUGUAGAUUGACCCUAGGUGUGAUUGUGAGUGUUGCUGUUUGUCUCUAUGUGGUCUGCGAUUGGCUGGCAACCAGUUUAGGGGGUACCCUGCCUCCUCCCCGAUGACAGCUGGGAUAGGCUGCAGUACUCUCCGUGACCCUUGUGAGGAUAAGCAGCUAAGAAAAUGGAUGGAUGGAAAAAUUGGUAGGGUUUUAACAACACAUUCAGUGGCAAAUUCAGAACACAUUCAUUUUCACUUUACAGUGAUUUUAGCAUGUACUGUAUGUAAUUAAUGUUUCUCAGACUUGUAGGACAGUCAAUAGUUUUAAAAUAUUAUUUGGUAUUAAUAUGACAAAAAGUGUACAACAAAAAAUGACAUGAUGAACAGUUUAAAUGUAUUUUCCCUAUUAACUGUCUCUUUGAGGUGCUUUAAAACACACUGCUUUAUCUCUUGAAUGAGAAGAAAAAGAAAAUAGUAGAUAAAAGUACUGAAUAACUAGUCUAAACUCACUGUCACUGUGCUUUCUAACAUUGCCACCUGUUGGUGUGAAAAAGUAACCGCUCCAAUAGUUGUAAUGGCACAAGACUACUGCCAAAAACUAAGGUUCGAAAGGUUCUUUUGGAUACUAACAGUUGAAACAAUUCUUUGUGCUUGUAUAUAGAGCCAUUAAUUACCCAAUCCUUCUAGAACACACCAUAUUAGAAAGGCGAUUCUUGGAUAUUGUUCUUAAUAUACAGUAUGUUUAUAGAAAUGGGAUUAUUGUUAUUAUAGGAUUAUUAUUUUACCUAAAAUACAGAGGGGUCUAUAUUAUAUGAUACCUUUAGAUUUCAUACUUUGUUUCUGUUAUUUUGUUUCACAUGUCCAGAGAAUACUGGAUUAAAAUUCUGUCUCGUUCCAUAUUUCUGAAAUCUAUUCCAUAUUUUUUUGUUAGAUAUUUUGGAAAGCUACUGUACAAUUUAUCCUGUUUUGUUGCCGUACAUAAUGUGUAGAAGAUGCUGUAUAACAUUUCUGUGUUGUUGUAUAAAGCCACUGGCCCUGCAAUGUUGUUGUUCUGUAUUUCUGGAAACCGCAUAAAUAUCCAUCCAUCCAUCCAUCCAUUUUCUUUUCCACUUUUCCUCACAAGGGUCGCGGGGAGUGCUGGAGCCUAUGCUUUACCAACUGAACCACCGUGCCGCCACUGCAUAAAUAUAAUACUGCAUAAGUUGUAGGCUGUUUUGAGUGAAAGCUCUUAUUUGCCUCAGAGGAUAAAGGCCAUCAUGCAAUUUAAAAUACAUCUUCUGCUCUUUCCAUGAGAUCACUCCCCCCAAACCGUGCAC